Molecule: ribosomal RNA, 253 nt
Filed under: uncultured bacterium
Lineage: Bacteria
Description: partial 16S ribosomal RNA
Rfam family: Bacterial small subunit ribosomal RNA
Source: RNAcentral
UACGAAGGGGGCUAGCGUUGUUCGGAAUUACUGGGCGUAAAGCGCGCGUAGGCGGCUUUGUAAGUCAGGGGUGAAAUCCCGGGGCUCAACCUCGGAACUGCCUUUGAUACUGCAAAUCUCGAGUCCGGAAGAGGUGAGUGGAAUUCCUAGUGUAGAGGUGAAAUUCGUAGAUAUUAGGAAGAACACCAGUGGCGAAGGCGGCUCACUGGUCCGGUACUGACGCUGAGGUGCGAAAGCGUGGGGAGCAAACAGG